UACGGAGGGGGCUAGCGUUGUUCGGAAUUACUGGGCGUAAAGCGCACGUAGGCGGCUUUGUAAGUUAGAGGUGAAAGCCCGGGGCUCAACUCCGGAAUUGCCUUUAAGACUGCAUCGCUAGAAUUGUGGAGAGGUAAGUGGAACUCCGAGUGUAGAGGUGAAAUUCGUAGAUAUUCGGAAGAACACCAGUGGCGAAGGCGACUAUCUGGACUGUGAUUGACGCUGAGGCGCGAAAGCGUGGGGAGCAAACAGG
This 253-nucleotide ribosomal RNA is filed under the name uncultured bacterium. RNAcentral's name for it is "partial 16S ribosomal RNA". It matches the Rfam family "Bacterial small subunit ribosomal RNA", at positions 524 to 776 of the family's 1533-position model. The record is from RNAcentral.